GAUGAACGCUGGCGGCGUGCUUAACACAUGCAAGUCGGACGGGAAGUCGUGUUUCUUGUGGCGGACGGGUGAGUAACGCGUGAGAACAUGCCCUGGGGAGGGGAACCACAGCUGGAAACGGCCGCUAAUACCCCGGAGGCCGAGGAGCAAAAGGAGGGAUCCGCCCGAGGGGGGGCUCGCGCAUGACUAGCUUGUUGGUGAGGCUAUAGCUGACCAAGGCGAUGGUCAGUAGCUGGUCGGAGAGGAACAUCAGCCACACUAGUACGGAGACGCGGAGCAGGCUCCGGGGGGAAGCAGCAGUGAGGAUUUUUCAGCAAUGGGCGGAGGGCUGACGCAGCAAUGCGGCGGGGAGGUAGAAGUCCUAGGGGUCAAGAACUUUUUAUCCCAGAGAAGAAGCAAUGACGGUAUCUGGUGAAUAAGCAUCGGCUAACUACGUG
This 437-nucleotide ribosomal RNA is filed under the name uncultured bacterium. Its description in RNAcentral is "partial 16S ribosomal RNA". It matches the Rfam family "Bacterial small subunit ribosomal RNA", at positions 28 to 507 of the family's 1533-position model. The record is from RNAcentral.